Molecule: ribosomal RNA, 253 nt
Filed under: uncultured bacterium
Lineage: Bacteria
Description: partial 16S ribosomal RNA
Rfam family: Bacterial small subunit ribosomal RNA
Source: RNAcentral
UACAGAGGGUGCGAGCGUUAAUCGGAAUUACUGGGCGUAAAGCGCGCGUAGGCGGCUUUGCAAGUCGAGUGUGAAAUCCCCAGGCUUAACCUGGGAACUGCAUUCGAGACUGCAUGGCUAGAGUAUGGGAGAGGGAAGUGGAAUUUCAGGUGUAGCGGUGAAAUGCGUAGAUAUCUGAAGGAACAUCAGUGGCGAAAGCGGCUCACUGGUCCAUUACUGACGCUGAGGUGCGAAAGCGUGGGGAGCAAACAGG